This 465-nucleotide ribosomal RNA is filed under the name uncultured bacterium. RNAcentral's name for it is "partial 16S ribosomal RNA". It matches the Rfam family "Bacterial small subunit ribosomal RNA", at positions 338 to 795 of the family's 1533-position model. The record is from RNAcentral.
CCUACGGGAGGCAGCAGUAGGGAACCUUCCACAAUGGGCGAAAGCCUGAUGGAGCAACGCCGCGUGGGUGAAGAAGGUCUUCGGAUCGUAAAACCCUGUUGUUAGAGAAGAAAGUGCGUGAGAGUAACUGUUCACGUUUCGACGGUAUCUAACCAGAAAGCCACGGCUAACUACGUGCCAGCAGCCGCGGUAAUACGUAGGUGGCAAGCGUUAUCCGGAUUUAUUGGGCGUAAAGGGAACGCAGGCGGUCUUUUACGUCUGAUGUGAAAGCCUUCGGCUUAACCGGAGUAGUGCAUUGGAAACUGGGAGACGUGAGUGCAGAAGAGGAGAGUGGAACUCCAUGUGUAGCGGUGAAAUGCGUAGAUAUAUGGAAGAACACCAGUGGCGAAAGCGGCUCUCUGGUCUGUAACUGACGCUGAGGUUCGAAAGCGUGGGUAGCAAACAGGAUUAGAUACCCCUGUAGUC